This is an unclassified non-coding RNA of Pongo abelii (Sumatran orangutan), 117 nucleotides long. It matches the Rfam family "Metazoan signal recognition particle RNA". From Rfam's summary of the family: The signal recognition particle (SRP) is a universally conserved ribonucleoprotein. It is involved in the co-translational targeting of proteins to membranes. The record is from Ensembl. NCBI's taxonomy places the organism in Eukaryota, Metazoa, Chordata, Mammalia, Primates, Hominidae.
GCCAGGCAUGAUGGCUCAUGCCUGUAAUCCCAGCACUUUGGGAGGCUGAGGUGGGAGAGUCACUUGAGGUCAGGAGUUCAAGACCAGCCUGGCCAACAUGGUGAAACCCCGUCUCUA